This 613-nucleotide ribosomal RNA is filed under the name Hebeloma leucosarx. Its description in RNAcentral is "eukaryotic LSU rRNA". The stretch from base 283 to 436 matches the Rfam family "5.8S ribosomal RNA". Lineage: Eukaryota; Fungi; Basidiomycota; Agaricomycetes; Agaricales; Hymenogastraceae. The record is from RNAcentral.
GGUCGUAACAAGGUUUCCGUAGGUGAACCUGCGGAAGGAUCAUUAUUGAAUGAACUUGGUGUGGUUGUUGCUGGUCCUUUCGGGGGCAUGUGCACGCCCACCAUCCUCAUCUCUCCACCUGUGCACCUCUUGUAGACUUGGAUUGACUUUCCGAGGCAACUCGGUCGGGAGGAUUGCUGGCAUCAGCUGGCUUUCUUUGCAUUUCCGGGUCUACGUUUUUCAUAUACCCCAAUGUAUGUAACAGAAUGUAAUAUUGGGCCCUUGUGCCUAUAAACCUUAUACAACUUUCAGCAACGGAUCUCUUGGCUCUCGCAUCGAUGAAGAACGCAGCGAAAUGCGAUAAGUAAUGUGAAUUGCAGAAUUCAGUGAAUCAUCGAAUCUUUGAACGCACCUUGCGCUCCUUGGUAUUCCGAGGAGCAUGCCUGUUUGAGUGUCAUUAAAUUCUCAACCUUUAUCACUUUUUGCUGAUAAUGGCUUGGAUAUGGGGGUCUAUUUUGCUGGCUUCUUUACGGAUGGUCAGCUCCCCUUAAAUGCAUUAGCCGGUGCCCCGCGUGGACUGUCUAUUGGUGUGAUAAUUAUCUACGCCGUGGACAUCUGCAAUCAUAUGGGUUUG